AAGAAAUUUAAUAAUUUUGAAAAUGGAUUUUUUUUGUUUUGGCAAGAGCAUGAGAGCUUUUACUGGGCAAGAAGACAAGAGAUGGAGAGUCCAGCCGGGCCUGCGCUUAAGUGCGCGGUCUUGCUAGGCUUGUAAGUUUCUUUCUUGCUAUUCCAAACGGUGAGAGAUUUCUGUGCUUUUGUUAUAGGACAAUUAAAACCGUUUCAAUACAACACACUGUGGAGUUUUCAUAUCUUUGCAACUUUUUCUUUGGGCAUUCGAGCAAUCGGGGCCCAGAGGUAACAAACACAAACAAUUUUAUUUAUUCAUUAAAUUUUUGUCAAAAACAAGAAUUUUCGUAACUGGAAAUUUUAAAAUAUUAA
RNAcentral lists this ribosomal RNA (362 nucleotides) under Saccharomyces cerevisiae YJM1389. Its description in RNAcentral is "ITS1-20". Lineage: Eukaryota; Fungi; Ascomycota; Saccharomycetes; Saccharomycetales; Saccharomycetaceae. RNAcentral also lists the same sequence under 1 other name. The record is from RNAcentral.